GUGGUGAGUCGGAUGGUCGCUGAGCCGACCGGCGUGAUGGCGACAUUGGGCCGGGUGUUUCAGAGGAAAGUCCGGACUCCGCAGGGCGCAGUGGUGGGUAACACCCACCGCUCGAACGUGUUCGAGUAGGGAAAGUGCCACAGAAAACAGACCGCCCCGGCGUUGGGUUACCGGCGUCGGGGUAAGGGUGAAACGGUGGGGUAAGAGCCCACCAGCAGGCCGGGUGACCGGCUUGGCUCGGCAAACCCCACUGGGAGCAAGACCAAAUAAGGGGGCAGCGGGGGAUUUCGGUCCUUCGCGCGGCUUGGCCCGAGCCGUGACGACUCCCGGGUAGGUCGCUUGAGGCGCUGGGCAACCGGCGUCCCAGAGAAAUGAUCAUCGAGGGACGGAUGUCCCUUACAGAAUCCGGCUUACAGACUCGCCACAAUU
Molecule: RNase P RNA, 429 nt
Filed under: Isosphaeraceae bacterium
Lineage: Bacteria; Pseudomonadati; Planctomycetota; Planctomycetia; Isosphaerales; Isosphaeraceae
Description: RNase P RNA component class A
Rfam family: Bacterial RNase P class A
About the family: Ribonuclease P (RNase P) is a ubiquitous endoribonuclease, found in archaea, bacteria and eukarya as well as chloroplasts and mitochondria. Its best characterised activity is the generation of mature 5'-ends of tRNAs by cleaving the 5'-leader elements of precursor-tRNAs.
Source: RNAcentral